Molecule: long non-coding RNA, 480 nt
Organism: Gracilinanus agilis (Agile Gracile Mouse Opossum)
Lineage: Eukaryota; Metazoa; Chordata; Mammalia; Didelphimorphia; Didelphidae
Exons: 4
Source: RefSeq, a predicted model, not a curated record
CUCUGCUGAUUAUGAGCCAUGCCUCAGUUUCCUCAUCUGUAAAAUGGGCAAAUAUCUGCAUCACAAGACUAAUAUGGAGAAGGAACAAAUCAGAUGAGAGAAUAUCAAGUAAUUACAGCUCAAAUUUCUACAAGCACCUUCAGGUUUACAAAAUGUUUUCUUCCAAAAUCUAAUGAGGAAAAUAAUCUUUGCACAAGAAAUGUCGGAACAAAUAAGGACUUGAUACCCAAGAUAAGUAGAACACUGAUAAGAGAAGACCUAGCUAUUGUUGGUUCGGAUGCUUCCCAUUCUCCACUUGGUGGAUAGCAUAUGCUAUCUGUGUGGUGUUUCAAACAGAGGUAUUAGACCCUACCCAUCAAUGGCAUGAAACGGUGUUUCAAUUACUCCUUACUAAACACAUCAGAAAAGAUGAAGUUGAACCAUGACAGGACGGAAAUGACAUUACCACUUCAUAAGCUUUCUCAUAACCGUCUGGAUUGG